This 75-nucleotide transfer RNA is filed under the name Rattus norvegicus (Norway rat). It matches the Rfam family "tRNA". From Rfam's summary of the family: Transfer RNA (tRNA) molecules are approximately 80 nucleotides in length. Lineage: Eukaryota; Metazoa; Chordata; Mammalia; Rodentia; Muridae. The record is from Rfam by way of RNAcentral.
GUGUGUGUGUCUCAGUGGGUAAGAGUGCUUGUUGUGAAAACAAGAUGACCUGAGUUCAAAUCCCCAGCACUCAUG